UACGAAGGGGGCUAGCGUUGCUCGGAAUUACUGGGCGUAAAGGGCGCGUAGGCGGCACUGUUAGUCAGGCGUGAAAGUCCUGGGCUCAACCUGGGAACUGCGCUUGAUACGGCAGAGCUAGAGGAUGGAAGAGGCUCGCGGAAUUCCCAGUGUAGAGGUGAAAUUCGUAGAUAUUGGGAAGAACACCGGUGGCGAAGGCGGCGAGCUGGUCCAUUACUGACGCUGAGGCGCGACAGCGUGGGGAGCAACAGG
This 252-nucleotide ribosomal RNA is filed under the name uncultured bacterium. RNAcentral describes it as "partial 16S ribosomal RNA". It matches the Rfam family "Bacterial small subunit ribosomal RNA", at positions 524 to 775 of the family's 1533-position model. The record is from RNAcentral.